UGCGCAGGCGGACCUAUCAGUCAGUGGUGAAAUCCCGGGGCUCAACUCCGGAACUGCCAUUGAUACUGUAGGUCUUGAGUUUGGUUGAAGUGGGCGGAAUGUAGCAUGUAGCGGUGAAAUGCAUAGAUAUGCUACAGAACACCGAUCGCGAAGGCAGCUCACUAAGCCAAUACUGACGCUCAGGCACGAAAGCGUGGGGAGCGAACAGGAUUAGAUACCCUGGUAGUCC
This 229-nucleotide ribosomal RNA is filed under the name uncultured bacterium. Its description in RNAcentral is "partial 16S ribosomal RNA". It matches the Rfam family "Bacterial small subunit ribosomal RNA", at positions 568 to 796 of the family's 1533-position model. The record is from RNAcentral.